Molecule: ribosomal RNA, 500 nt
Filed under: uncultured bacterium
Lineage: Bacteria
Description: partial 16S ribosomal RNA
Rfam family: Bacterial small subunit ribosomal RNA
Source: RNAcentral
AUUGAACGCUGGCGGCAUGCCUUACACAUGCAAGUCGAACGGCAGCACGGGAGCAAUCCUGGUGGCGAGUGGCGAACGGGUGAGUAAAGUAUCGGAACGUGCCCAGUCGUGGGGGAUAACGUAGCGAAAGUUACGCUAAUACCGCAUACGAUCUAUGGAUGAAAGCGGGGGAUCGCAAGACCUCGCGCGAUUGGAGCGGCCGAUAUCAGAUUAGGUAGUUGGUGGGGUAAAGGCUCACCAAGCCGACGAUCUGUAGCUGGUCUGAGAGGACGACCGGCCACACUGGGACUGGGACACGGCCCAGACUCCUACGGGAGGCAGCAGUGGGGAAUUUUGGACAAUGGGCGAAAGCCUGAUCCAGCCAUGCCGCGUGCAGGAUGAAGGUCUUCGGGUUGUAAACUGCUUUUGUACGGAACGAAAAGGUUUGGGCUAAUAAGCUGAGCUCAUGACGGUACCGUAAGAAUAAGCACCGGCUAACUACGUGCCAGCCGCCGCCGUAA